RNAcentral lists this long non-coding RNA (2095 nucleotides) under Cricetulus griseus (Chinese hamster). Its description in RNAcentral is "lncRNA (ENSCGRG00000026474.1)". Lineage: Eukaryota; Metazoa; Chordata; Mammalia; Rodentia; Cricetidae. The record is from RNAcentral.
GCGGCGGGGACUUGGAGAAGGAGGAGGAGGACUCGACGGACUUCCCCGAAGUGAGAAGAGUACGUGAUGGGAAGUGAGCAAGUUGCGGAUGCUGGACGGCAGAGGGAGAGCCGACAGGGAGCACGACGGCCAGGCACCUGCAGGAAUGGAAUGCGCAUCGGCGUUCACUGGCGUGGAGUGAACUGGGGAAGAAGACAUUUGCCAGACAGGCUCUGGAAGAUAAGAACAAUUCUGAAGAAAUGGCAGAAGACUCACGGGGCAGACAUGAUAAGCAGGCUUGUUUCUUCAAGCUGGAUUUGCCGCAAAGAAUGAAUUGUGUGUGAGCAAAAACUGAAAAGAGCUGCAGUGUCCAGGGAACUUGGGCUUAAAAAUACUAGAACCCUAGAUUUUAUCAGAUCCAUAAGCAAACGAAAUUUAAAAGCAGUUGUGAUAUAAAACAGCAGCUCCUUUAACUUCUGCAAGUGUCACCUUCUUCAGAAGUCGCCUCAAGUCACUUUGCCUCAUUCUUAGAAACCUCAUUAAAAUUCUCCACAAGAUCUGGGACUUGAUCAUAACCUUUAGCUAGUGGUGCUCUUCCAUCCACAGAUUGUCUGGGCAUAGCUUCUGCCAGUCCCCUUAAACUAGUCAGACUCUCUGCCCCAACUGGGUUAGGAUGCUUUGUCUCACGUGGCCUAUAAUGGUGAAGGUAUUUGCUGCCAGAGAUGCCUGAACUUUAGGGUUGUUCAAAUGGAUCCCUGUUCCUUGGUUUGUAAACAUGUUCAUCUCUUCAAUACCAGAGACAUUGCUCACCCCUAACUUCUUUAAGGAGAACUGCAGUUGUUUUUGUUUUGUUUUGUUUUAAUCGUUUGCUAUGCAGUUCUACGAAUCACCUUCUUUCUGCAAACAGUUCUUUUUUCUACCGAUGCACACUUGUGCCCGAAGUUUGGUGAGUUUUUUCCUGGUUCCUGGUUGUUUCAUCUUGUUGGAGGGAAAUAGGGCCACAUGUGGGACUAGGGUUCGUGCUGGGGUUGGAGGGGUCUCAGGGCACACUGGCUGAGAUAAGUCGCACUCGGACACACACACACACACACACACACACACACAAGACAGCUCAAAUUAGCAGUUUGAAGAAUCAUAACUACUUUCCCACUCCUAGUCAAUAGAGAAAAGGUUUGCCCCCUGCCUUACAUAACACACCCCUUUUAGAUAAAGUGUGUAAACUCCACUAUGUAGAUGGAUCUUUCAUUCUUUUUAGUAAGACUUCCAAGAGUUGAUUCAGAUAAAAUGGCCUUUUCUUCCCAUGAUUUGAAAUAAGUGUUUUUGUUAGUGUUUUUGUUUUCCUGUUACUCUGUCACUGAAUAAUAGGUGCCAUUAUAUAGACAGUCCUGUGUCAGAUAUCAGGCACUAUAGGACCACCAUAAAAAUCCCCCAAAGACUACAGUCUAAGUAAUUCCUUUUGAUGGCAGAUGGGGCAAGAGCGAGGAAAAUUUAAAAGUACAAUAGCAGUAACACUGUAAGUAGAAUCACCAUGUAAUAAGUCUGCCAGCCAUGUUUAGAAAACAAAGGUGGGAAAAAGAAAAAAUGAGAACCAAUGGAAUGGACUAGACAAGAAAGCUAGCCCCGACAGAAAAGAACGAGGGCACAGAUCAUGUAGGACAGCAUAGGAUGAGACAGUUAAACCAUUAAGCGAGGCAGCCAGACAACAUCAAUAAACAUAAAUUCAACUGGUUAUUUGAUCUUUGUGGUCUUUGAGAAGCUACAGGCAGAUUCUUCACUAGAACAAAGACAUUCGGCAUGCUUUAAAUGUCUUGCCUGUGUUGUACAGAAUCAGUAAUUAAGGAAAUAUACUCUUCCUUUGCCAGGGCUCCAAAGCACUAGCUGAUUUUACCACCUGUUUCAUGGUGCUUCUAUGACAGAACUAUACCGAAAUCAGUUUGUGCCGAGUUACAAUAAGGCAAUAUCAAUAUUCAGCUAUCUAUAGACUCCUUCUAACCCAAGGGGAAAUAAGCUAUCCAAACUGGAUGCCUCCAUUUAAAAUGCCCAUCACAGUCAAUCAGAAUCCAGCAAGGAGAGAGGCAGGCCAGUGUAAACAAAAGCCAGAGAGAUGGCAAGUGGG